Molecule: ribosomal RNA, 253 nt
Filed under: uncultured bacterium
Lineage: Bacteria
Description: partial 16S ribosomal RNA
Rfam family: Bacterial small subunit ribosomal RNA
Source: RNAcentral
UACGGAGGGGACUAGCGUUGUUCGGAAUUACUGGGCGUAAAGCGCACGUAGGCGGAUUUGUAAGUCAGGGGUGAGAUCCCGGGGCUCAACCUCGGAACUGCCUUUGAUACUGCAAAUCUCGAGUCCGGAAGAGGUGAGUGGAAUUCCUAGUGUAGAGGUGAAAUCCGUAGAUAUUAGGAAGAACACCAGUGGCGAAGGCGGCUCACUGGUCCGGUACUGACGCUGAGGUGCGAAAGCGUGGGGAGCAAACAGG